CAAUAGGAAACAAAACUCAUUUUUUUGGAAAAAGUUUUAAAAAUGUUGAAAAUUAUUUCAAUUUAAAUAGGUGCAAAUGAAAAAAAAAAGAGCAUAUUUCUUAAGACAGGUGAGCCACUGUUAUAGGUGAGAAGUUAUGAAGAUACAGGAAAAUUUAAUGUAUGUCUGUACGCAACAGUUAAUCAUUGCUAACGAAAAACGAUUUUGAAC
Non-coding RNA from Cinara cedri, 210 nucleotides. NCBI's taxonomy places the organism in Eukaryota, Metazoa, Arthropoda, Insecta, Hemiptera, Aphididae. The record is from the annotation of a GenBank genome assembly.